AUUUGGCACAAUCUGAUCUGC
This 21-nucleotide microRNA is filed under the name Brassica rapa (field mustard). Its description in RNAcentral is "bra-miR5725". Lineage: Eukaryota; Viridiplantae; Streptophyta; Magnoliopsida; Brassicales; Brassicaceae. The record is from miRBase by way of RNAcentral.